CAGCGAAGCAGGUCAAGUCUACAGAGCUGCACUUCAUUUUUCCUAAGAACUCUACACUUUCUUGUAUGUAUUUCAGAAACAUUCACUGAUGAAUUUUUAACAUACUAAUUACUGUUGAGUCUCUGCUGAAUCCUUUGCAUUAAUGUUGGUUAUCUCACACUUCAACCUCUGUUUUAGUCUGCAGUAAUCUUUAACAGCCUUAUAGUUAAAAAGAAAUGGUACUGUGUAAGGAAUAAAAACCAUUUUUAUUCUCCCUAAUAUACACAUUUAUAUUCCAGGCUUACUCUUGCCGCAAGUGGAGUGGAUCGCGAUCUGGCUCGUUGUUCCUUUUUCCUAUGCAUAUACUUCUUUGAGAAUUGCUUCUAAAGAGGUAUAGGGCAUGGGAAAAUGGGGCAACUGAGAUACUUCAUUACUCAUCUCAAGAAGCAUUGCAAAAGCAACAGUAGAAAUGUUUAGAGAAAACAGAUGUGUGAAGAAAUGAAAGGUAAAUUUAUGAAACUCCCAAUUAACCCUCAAAACCUGCACUAAAAGAUACCGGCACUAUUUACUCUGAUCUAACAGCUAAAUGUUGGUUUCCUCUUAAAACCCCAUUUAUUAAAAGAGCAAUAUUUUAAGCAUUUCUCCAACUACAUUAUUAAACAUAUCUCCCUUGGUCUAAUGUAAAACACAUGCAUCGCUAAUAAGCUGCUUCUAUAGUCCUUAUUCCCAUAAGCCUCCAACUGAAAAUAACAGGAAUGCAGUCACACACACUGCCAAAAAUGCCACUCUUUCUCCCUGUCUCACAGGUGCUGGGAAUCAGCUGUCACUGAAUCCAGGUAAUGCUGGCUCACGUGUGUAAAGCCCAGUCAUGCAAAUGCCACCUAAGUGGGUUGUCUGUAAUACAUCACUUAUUCUUAGGAUUUUAUCCUUUAAGAUCCUAGGUACCUUUUACAUGAUGCCUGCAUGUGUAGAAUUGCAAAGUCUUCUCUUAUAAAACCCAGUUAAUAGUAAAUCAAAUUAAAAACAUACUAAUAUCUUUUUCUUUCUUUCACCCACAGGUAUCUUGGAAGUGGAAGUACAAGCUCUCUUUGCUCAUUUCAUUUAGCAGAAAAACAGUCAUUAAACACAAUUUUUAUGUUUCUGUUCAAUUACUUUCAUUUACUCUAAAUAACAAUGUGUCACAUCAAUUCUGGGGGGAAAAUACUGCUGUUAUGAAAUAAUGUAACUGUACAUAAUGUGUGUCAAAUAAAUAUCUAGUGAUUCAGUCACAGAUCAAAA
Corvus hawaiiensis (hawaiian crow) is the source of this 1257-nucleotide long non-coding RNA. RefSeq lists it as uncharacterized. Lineage: Eukaryota; Metazoa; Chordata; Aves; Passeriformes; Corvidae. The record is from RefSeq and is a predicted model, not a curated record. The transcript is spliced from 2 exons.